AUGCAUAUGAAUACCAGGUCGCAACCUCUCCCCUGUAGAGGCAAUCUGCUGCUGCUGCUAAGUGUCCUUUGGUGGCUGAUUGCAGUUUCAAGGUUUAAGAAAUCCCAUCUUUCAGGAAGCCUGAGGGGAAGAAAGGAAGUACGGGCGAAAUCAUCAGAUUGGCUUCCCGGGUUUGGGAAUCUGAAGCGGGCCCGCAUCUUCCGGCCAACUUCCAUUGAACUUCCCAGCACUCGAAAGGGACCGAAAUGGAGAGCAAAGCAGGAGAAGUCAGCCCUUGAGCUGGAACCAGCUGUCCUGAGAAGAAACUGAGAGCUGGGGGAGAGUUUCAGAUCUUCAGGGUAGGGUGAGGUAUGCAAGCACCCUUAAGGAAAUGCUGUAACCAGAAAUGUAGACCCAGAAAAAGCACUUGUUUCUAUUAUUGCUAAUCAUAAUAGCUUUCUUUAAUAUAUUAGUUAUGUGUAUAAUGCAUUUUCCUAUCCCUUACCUCAUUGUCUCCUCUGCAAGCCUAUAUGGCCCUAUUGUUGAAAUGAUGUGUGUAAACCAGCAGCUCUGCAUCACCCAGGAGCUUAUUAGAAAUGCCUCAUCUAGAUCUAGUAGGCUAGAAUUUGCAUUUACUAAGACUCUAGCCUUUAAAAUUUAAGAAGCUUUGCAGUCGGUCCACGGGGCAAUCAUUUCUCCCUGUUA
RNAcentral lists this long non-coding RNA (684 nucleotides) under Capra hircus (goat). RNAcentral describes it as "lncRNA (ENSCHIG00010003580.1)". The record is from RNAcentral. Lineage: Eukaryota; Metazoa; Chordata; Mammalia; Artiodactyla; Bovidae.